Myiozetetes cayanensis is the source of this 3591-nucleotide long non-coding RNA. RefSeq lists it as uncharacterized. Lineage: Eukaryota; Metazoa; Chordata; Aves; Passeriformes; Tyrannidae. The record is from RefSeq and is a predicted model, not a curated record. The transcript is spliced from 3 exons.
UACAGACCCCUUUAGCUGUCGGCAGGUGGAAGCUCCAUUGUGGGGACAGCCAGGCUGUGCCUGCAGCUGCUGCCCCAGGGCUGCUCAAGAGGCCUGUGGAAACAGCGGUGACGUCUUUACAGAAAAAUACAUCCACAUAUUCAAAACACCCUUGUGUGCGCUGCUCCGAAGGUGGCCGUCUCUAUGAGAAAGGCCUUGCUGCCUCCUUAAGUGACCCGUGUCCAAGUGGGAGCAUAAAGAGAUCAUUAGCUUUGUGCUGUGCUCCUACCGACACAGUCUUUGACCUUUGACGCAAUUUGGCAAAUCAGAUGGCUCUUAUUACAAAAGCCUUUGAAACACGCCGUCCCUUCCACCCUGUGCUGUCUGCUGGGGACCAGAGGGCUUGAAAACAGGCACCUGAAGAGAAAAAAGAGAGCCAGGGCAGUUUCCAUGGGAGCUUAAGGGGGCCACUGUCAAGUUUAUCCCAGAUAUUUGUGAGGUAAGAAAGCUUUUGUUUUGUUGAAGUGAGGGGUUUGGUUUGUUUGUUUUUGUUUUAAGAGCAUUAUCUCCUCUAACUUUUCUUUGUGAUUAACAUCACCUUGUAAAAAGCCCAUUAAGACAUGAUAUUGGUCCCAUAGGUUUACAAACUGACAAUUUCAAUUUCCCAACCAGGGACUUCACAAAGGCACCAAUAUUCCAGGAAACUAAGUUCUUUGGUCUCCUGACUAUGGAUACAGAUUCUUAAAAACUUAGACCUCUGUAUCUAUACUGAGUGCUGUUAUUAGGUGGCAAUCCUUAACCUGUCAAAGCUGCCAUUCAUGUUAGCAUCCACUGCAAUGUCACCUUUGCUGUGUUCUGAAAGAAGCUUGAUUUCAGCUGUCUCCCUUCUGUAUUCAGGAGGGGACAGCUAAGCAGUCCUAUUGCCCACUGCACGAUGUGCCUUGACUGCAAAACCCAUCAACUUCUGGCCAGAGAAGCAGCAGUAAAAUCCCUCAGAGCUCUCACUGUACAGGUCUACGUGUAGAUGACGAGGCUAGAUCAGAAGAGACCAGAAAACAUCCUGUGGUGGCGGUGAAGGGAAGUAGCCACUGUCUUAACCCUGACUUUGAAAUAACUGGCAGCAGCUGUAAUUUCUCACAGCACUUUCCAGAGGCAGCCCUACAAGGUCAGGUGAUGUGACAUCACUUCUUGUGAGCUAGAUGUGUGACAUGGUAAUCUUUUUUCCUCUGGUUAUCUUACUCAAUAAGUUUCUGUCUCAUUUGGGACUCAUGACUUACACACAGACAGAAGGCACUCUGAAACACGAGGGUGAUGGUGUAACUUCAGCACAAUCCCAGGAGCACCCAGAUCAAACUGCUGGCUCUAAACCAGUUCUGAUUCCUAGGAAAGGUGAGAGUCAAAUGUACAUCUGUUCCUGGAGGAUUCCUCUGAAUUCAGAUGUCAUGGCUUGUUUCUGUCCUGGUGAAGAUGGAAAAUAAGCUCCUAUACAUGAACACCAUAAAUUUUCUGGGAAGGUCAGACCAAGAGCAUGCCUAGAGGAUUGGCUGUUGUCAUUAAAACCAAAGUCAGGUUUCUGUGCUUGAUGAUCUCAGGAGCGGUGGGUUGACCUCGGGUGGGUUGACCUCACCCACAAAGCCACUCUAUCACUUGCCCUCCUCAGCGAGCAGUGCCAGCUCUGCUCAGCAGCAACCAAAACACUGUUGUGUUUUAAACACCACUCCAGCUACAAAUAAAAAGCACAGCACUAUGAGGGCUACUACGAGUGAAGUUAACUAACACACCCUUCAAAUACACUGUGUUUUCUGAAAGUAAAAGAAUAUGGUUGAAUUGUUUAUCCUGACUUUUAAUGGCUUUUGAGUAUUCAGCAGUUUAUUUGGAAACAGAAAGAAAGGUUUUUGCUGAGCUUUCUGUGUCCCUAGUGAAGAAUAUGUCCUCUUAAAUGCCAGGGAAAAUGAGUUAGAACAGAAUGUUUCUAGCCCUUCACGUUGUGCCUUUGGCAUUCUCCACUUACAGCAUGUUAGCUGUGCAAAUUGAAUUUCUCCUUGAACUUUUUUAACCUAAAUGAUUCUAUGACUCUAGGGAAGUGUAAGUUAGAAGCUGUGAUACUUCAAAAUAUUAGGAUGUCAGACAUGAUAACUUUGUAUUAGGAAUAUGUAGUUGAAAAAUCUGAUCCUUGGAAUGGCUGUGCUGUAGCACAGCUGAUUUUGUGUCAGUGCCAAAAGUUCAGUUUUGCAAAGAUAAUAUCCCGUAUCAGAAUUCCAUCAUCUGUCUGCUGAGAAGAACCAUGUGGAUAUUUCUUUCUUAAUGACUGAAGAAUAUUCCUAAUGAUCUUUGAAGAGCUGUUGUAAUUUGACAGCAGGAAAUUGUUCUGGCUUUUGAAUAUGUAGCAAAUAUUUUAAAGCAGGCUUUUAAGUGGUUUCCUUAGCAACCACUCUUCUUUAGAGAUCAAUGCAUACUAAUAAGGAUCCUCCUGGAUUCGAAUCAGCUUUGCAAUAUUAAAGGCACUUGUUUAAGAUGCUGCCAGGUCAUGCACAGUUCCUCGCUGUCCAACAGCCCUGGAGCACAGAGGCAAGCUCUUUCUCUGCCUGCCAGACUUUUCUCCAGACAAGCAAGGACACCACCUUUUGGUGGUGAUCUCCUAUAGGCAUCCUGAUGGGUGGAGAAGCUGGCUGUGCUCACUGUUGUCUGCUCCCUCAUCCAGCAGCUCCAGGGAAUGGGGAGCUUUAUUUCUCAUUCAUCUGCCCUCCACUCCCACACCCUAAGAAAAUGCUAGUGACUUGUGAUUCCUUUUCAAAGGAGUAUCAAGUACAGCUCUUAACUGAGCAAAGCCCACAUUCCUUUUUUUUUGGUCUUAUAUCUUAAGUGUCUGGGGCAUCCCAUAAUUUAUCUUUCAAUCCCAUAUUCCAUAUUUAUUAUCAAUAGGAAUGUAAAGCCAUUAAUGGUGGAGAGGUGACAUUAAUAUAAAGAAGAACCAUCUUCUACUCUCCUCCAAGGGUUUAGUGAUGUAUUCUGACUUGGAUUGCCAUCCCUAUUUGCUAUGGACAUCUGAGAUUUAAGGCAGUUUUGGCAGAACUGACCUAAGAAUCUUAAAGAAAACAAGUGCUGCUCAUGGAAAAUGUGUUUAACAGUGAUCCUAAUGGAGGGCAUUUGCCUGGUGUUUGUCACCAGCCCUGUGAGAGCCUGACUGGAUGCCCCAGCAGUGCUGGUUUCUCUGGGGGCAGACUUUUCAUUGUUUCUGGCUGGAAGUUUAGAGAUUGUUCCUGCUGCCAUAGAGUAAAAAGGCACGAGAAUAAUUUUCUUCUGAUGCCUCCCCACAGUCCGUGUGCCUUUGCUACCUUGCUGCAAAGCCUUGAUGUGAGGCUUCUCUCAGAAACUGUUUAGAGGCAUGGAGGCAGACCUAUAUUCCAUGAAAGUACAUUUAACUUCUGUUAAAUCUCCCCCUUCUCUGGCCCCAUUCCCUCCCUGCCUCCCUGAGAUCAUCUUGCUCCAACUAUGGCUGGCCAGAGUUCCCUCUUACGCAGAGCACAGUGUGAUGCAGUUGCACCCUGCCAACGCCUCCGUUGUUUGAGGAUUUACAAGGUCUGUUUUUAAACACCCUUGCAACAAACAAAA